UACAGAGGGUGCGAGCGUUAAUCGGAAUUACUGGGCGUAAAGCGUGCGCAGGCGGUUCGCUAAGACAGAUGUGAAAUCCCCGGGCUUAACCUGGGAACUGCAUUUGUGACUGGCGGGCUAGAGUAUGGCAGAGGGGGGUAGAAUUCCACGUGUAGCAGUGAAAUGCGUAGAGAUGUGGAGGAAUACCGAUGGCGAAGGCAGCCCCCUGGGCCAAUACUGACGCUCAUGCACGAAAGCGUGGGGAGCGAACAGG
Molecule: ribosomal RNA, 253 nt
Filed under: uncultured bacterium
Lineage: Bacteria
Description: partial 16S ribosomal RNA
Rfam family: Bacterial small subunit ribosomal RNA
Source: RNAcentral